Molecule: long non-coding RNA, 2737 nt
Filed under: Panax ginseng (ginseng)
Lineage: Eukaryota; Viridiplantae; Streptophyta; Magnoliopsida; Apiales; Araliaceae
Description: long non-coding RNA (PGIN_LNC001690)
Source: RNAcentral
UACUAUGUAAGCUAUAAAGCUAAAAAUCUAAAAAAAAUAACUUAAAAUUGCUGUCAUUUGUCAAUUAAGCUUGAGCUGUCGGAUAAUUGUGUCAAAUGAAGACACUAAGCUAUUAAUUACUUAUAAGAGAAGGAGUUAUUUAGUGAAGUUAUCAUCAUAAUUUAUUCCCUGCCCUUCCAUUCUCUUUCCAAAAAGAAAGAAACAAAAAGUAGCCUUGUUCCAUCCGUUCCAAAAGAAAGAAGGAUGAAGAAUUUUUUUGUUAACUCCCAUCCGUUUCAAAACAAGUUCGGCUCCACAAUCAUCCCAAAAUCCAUUCUCAACUUCUUCAAUUACCAAGCAUACAAGAAGAAAUUAGAGUAAAAUAUUGUCCAAGAAAGGGUUUAAUUCAAGAUUGAAGCAAGGAUGAGACUAUAACAUCAAAUUAAGAGGUAAGCCAUGUGUUUUUGCUAUAUUCAUAUAACUUGAACAAAUAAUAUCUGUUAUCAUAAUUGCUAUGUUUUGGUUGUGGGAGAUUGUAUUUUUGAUAGAAUUGAAAGGAUUCUAGGGUAAUAAGGAUAUAAUUGAGUGGGAAAUUGGAUAUCAAACAUGUUCAAACCCGUAUGAAAUCUGAACUUUAAAGCUAUGCACACAAAAUGUUUGUUAAAAUGUCUCAAUGAGACUAUUAUGUUAAAACAUGAGAAUUGGUUAAAGCUCUGUGCUAGAUAAUGUACACAUGAGUUAUAAGAUAAAUCAAGUUGGUUAGAAAUUGAGUGUGUAUGUCUAUGUCAAAAAAAUAAUUUGACUUUGCAUUGGUGCUGUAAUAUUGUUAGGCAAGGUCUACGUCAACUUUCAAAUAGGCAAGAAAAAAAAACUGCUUAUAAUCUUGUGUAUCUUUUUAUAUACCUUAGAAUGUUUAUUGAUUUGGAAAUAUUAUUAUUUGAAGCUUCAACAUGAUGUUAAAAGUAAGAAUUUUCUGUUGAGACAUUUACCACGUACCGCUUUGUGAGUUCCAGAGUAGCUUAAUAGCUUUUACUAAACACUCAUAGUAGCUUUUAUUUACUACUUGAUGAUAGCAAAAGAAGAAGUCUCUUUGUUAGGAUUAGAUAAACUACAAGUCAUGAAAUAUAUUCCUAUUGCACUAGAUCCUAGCAAAAGUUACAUUGUUCAUAUACCACGGGAACUGAUUAGUGUGUUUCAAAUGAUAAAUAAGUACCUAAAUAAAGAGGGAAAAAUGUUGAAACAUUUAUUAGAUAGUCAUACCCAUUUACCAUCUGCUGCAUUAUUAUCAUUGCAGGGACAAAAGCAGUAGGUACAUGGUCCAUAAUGAAUGGGCCAUAUUGUUCUUUUUCUUCUCAUCUAUUUGCCUUAUUAACCUCCCGAGAUUAUGAAAAGGUAAAGAGUGCCAAAAUGAUUAAACUAGACACAUACUUGUGGACAAAUCCUCAAACAUUCCCAGUCACUCACUUCCAUUCUACACCACAUUCCUCAUACAAUGAUAAUAAAGUAUCUGGAAAAGCUCACUAUUAUUGAUAAUAUAGGUCAUUAUAAAGGAAAACUAGAAAGUGUAAAUUUAUGUUUUCCUCACCAACUCUUUCCUGAUUGGAAUAUAGGGGUCAGUCUUCACAAUUGUUGUCUAUUGUGGAUGGCUUCCUUUGUUUAGAAUAAAAUGAAUCUUGAUAUUGAUAUAAAUGAGGAUAUAUUGAACAAAGUGGCUAACAGAAAUCAGUUUUUUCUCUCUCCUUUUAAUUUCUAUAAUUUGAUUUCUUUUUGAAUUGCUAAGAUAAUGACCUGUGAAGUUAAUAAUAAUUGGGGAUGUAAUUGAAUCUACUGUGACUGUUACAGGAUGAUUACUGGGUUCUAAAACAAGUGGCCCAAAAAUCAGAUUAUGUGAACAGGUAUUUCUUUUUCCAGGGUCCUGUUAAUGUUUCCUUUCCACCGAUUUUGGUUGCACUUUGGUUAUUUAGGAUUAUAUGGAAAUUUAGGAUUUUAUAUAUGUAAAUUACCGAAGGAAAAAUCUGUCUUCCUUGUUUUGGUUAUUGAAGUUUUAUGCUCUCUACAUUCCACUUCAAGUUUCAAAACCAUGUCUGGAUGAUGGUAUUGUUAUUUGGAGUUAUAAUUGAGUUACUAGCUGAAUACAAUUUUAAAUUCAUAACAUGCUAGGUUCAUAUAGUUUGGCAGAUUCUCAGAAUUGAUGUGGUAUGACCUUUGCAGUCACCCCUACACAUGAAUGAUGUAUCUAGGACUCAAAUACCCCUCUCCUCGUUUUUGAAUUAAAGGAAAGGUCUUGGGUUGAUAUUUUUGGAUUAAGAAAUUCAUCAUGCCUUAUUUUUCAAUGCUUGGAAGAAUCUUCUUCUCAGUUAACUAUCAAUGUACAAUUAUGAAAUUUGAUGAACUGGGGCAACUACCUUGAAAGGAUAAUUUGUAUCGAGUUAUUAAUAUUUUACAAAAAUUGAAUUUUAACAAUGGUCAACAUAGUCACUUGCUGUGAUUUACAUUUACGUUGUUUGUGUUUGUUUUUGUGUAUGUGCGUGUAUAUAUUUAUUAUAUUUCUUUUUUGACUUGGUCAUUUGUUGUGAUUUUUAUGUUUGCCUUUGUAUGAGUAGCUAUGGAGGCUUGUGCCAUAUCUACGCUUACGAAAGACAAGGGACGAAAAUAUGAAGUGUACUCUCUAUAUAUGUAGAUAUAUAUUUUGAUUGAAGAACUGUGGUAGCUUUAGAUGGUUAAUUGUAAAGAUAAUGAAUGAAUAUGUAGUGGAUGA